Molecule: long non-coding RNA, 803 nt
Filed under: Cicer arietinum (chickpea)
Lineage: Eukaryota; Viridiplantae; Streptophyta; Magnoliopsida; Fabales; Fabaceae
Description: long non-coding RNA (CARI_LNC000679)
Source: RNAcentral
UCUGCCAAUGAACACAAAAAAUUUCAAAAACGUUAGUAGAAAUAACAACAACAACUCUAAGGGAAGAUAAAAUUAUAACGCAUUUUACCUCCCUUGACCAUGUACAAUAUAUCACUGCAACACCAUCAAAAAUACCAGUUGACAACAAACUUUUGACGUUUGAAGGGAAGUUGUUAGUAGAAGCCUUCUUGGGCUUUGGCUCUUUAUUCUUAACAACAAUAUCCGUUUUAGCAUUAGGUUUUGGGGUGUUAUUUACAAGCGGAUCGGGGUUUGAUUCGGUCAGAUCGUUCUGCCUAUCCACACCUUGAGCUGAGUUCUGGUUUCCUAUUAAGGAAUCAGAAUUAUUAAUGAUUCCACCAGAGGGAUUUGAUUCAGGAUCAACAUGAAAACCUCCAAAAGAUAUGGCACUGCCCUGAAACUUAUUGAAGUUUUGACCCAUAGGGAAAGACGUUAGUAGAAAUAACAACAACAACUCUAAGGGAAGAUAAAAUUAUAACGCAUUUUACCUCCCUUGACCAUGUACAAUAUAUCACUGCAACACCAUCAAAAAUACCAGUUGACAACAAACUUUUGACGUUUGAAGGGAAGUUGUUAGUAGAAGCCUUCUUGGGCUUUGGCUCUUUAUUCUUAACAACAAUAUCCGUUUUAGCAUUAGGUUUUGGGGUGUUAUUUACAAGCGGAUCGGGGUUUGAUUCGGUCAGAUCGUUCUGCCUAUCCACACCUUGAGCUGAGUUCUGGUUUCCUAUUAAGGAAUCAGAAUUAUUAAUGAUUCCACCAGAGGGAUUUGAUUCAGGAUCAACAUG